AUUGAACGCUGGCGGCAGGCCUAACACAUGCAAGUCGAGCGGACGAAGGGGGCUUGCUCCUGGCUUCUGUGGGGGACGGGCGAGUAAUUCCUAGGAAUAUGCCUGGUCGUGGGGGAUAACGUCAGGACACGGGCGCUUAUAUAGCACAGGAUCUGAGGUAGAACGGGGGGGAUCUUCGGAGAUAGCCGUUCUUGCUGUGCCUAGGUCGGUUUCUAGUUGGUGGGGUAAAGGCUUACCAAGGCGACGAUCCGUAACUGGUCUGAGAGGAUGAUAAGUCACACUGGAACUGAGACACGGUCCAGACUCCUACGGGAGGCAGCAGUAGGGAAUAUUGGACAAUGGGCGAAAGCCUGAUCCAGCCAUGCCGCGUGUGUGAUGAAGGUCUUCGGAUUGUAAAGCACUGUUAGUAGGGAGGAAGGGCAGUAAGUUAAUACCUGGCUGUUUUGACGGUACCUACAGAAUAAGCACCGGCUAACUACGUG
This 482-nucleotide ribosomal RNA is filed under the name uncultured bacterium. RNAcentral's name for it is "partial 16S ribosomal RNA". It matches the Rfam family "Bacterial small subunit ribosomal RNA", at positions 30 to 507 of the family's 1533-position model. The record is from RNAcentral.